Molecule: ribosomal RNA, 310 nt
Filed under: uncultured bacterium
Lineage: Bacteria
Description: bacterial SSU rRNA
Rfam family: Bacterial small subunit ribosomal RNA
Source: RNAcentral
GAUAAACGCUGGCGGCGUGCCUAACACAUGCAAGUCGAACGAUCCCGCAAGGGAGAGUGGCGGAAGGGUGAGUAACACGUGGGAAUCUACCUCCUCGCAGGGAACAACCUCUCGAAAGAGAGGCUAAUACCCAAAAGGGUCAGAAAUGAUCAGAGUCGAAAGGCGUGAGGAGAGGAGCCCGCGGCCCAUCAGCUAGUUGGUGAGGUAAUGGCUUACCAAGGCUACGACGGGUAGGGGAUCUGAGAGGAUGUCCCCCACACUGGAACUGAAACAACGGUCCAGACGCCUACGGGUGGCAGCAGUGAGGAAU